GAUGAACGCUGGCGGCGUGCCUAAUACAUGCAAGUCGAGCGAGCGGACGAGAAGCUUGCUUCUCUGAUGUUAGCGGCGGACGGGUGAGUAACACGUGGAUAACCUACCUAUAAGACUGGGAUAACUUCGGGAAACCGGAGCUAAUACCGGAUAAUAUUUUGAACCGCAUGGUUCAAAAGUGAAAGACGGUCUUGCUGUCACUUAUAGAUGGAUCCGCGCUGCAUUAGCUAGUUGGUAAGGUAACGGCUUACCAAGGCAACGAUGCAUAGCUGACCUGAGAGGGUGAUCGGCCACACUGGAACUGAGACACGGUCCAGACUCCUACGGGAGGCAGCAGUAGGGAAUCUUCCGCAAUGGGCGAAAGCCUGACGGAGCAACGCCGCGUGAGUGAUGAAGGUCUUCGGAUCGUAAAACUCUGUUAUUAGGGAAGAACAUAUGUGUAAGUAACUGUGCACAUCUUGACGGUACCUAAUCAGAAAGCCACGGCUAACUACGUG
RNAcentral lists this ribosomal RNA (497 nucleotides) under uncultured bacterium. Its description in RNAcentral is "partial 16S ribosomal RNA". It matches the Rfam family "Bacterial small subunit ribosomal RNA", at positions 28 to 507 of the family's 1533-position model. The record is from RNAcentral.